Molecule: long non-coding RNA, 1236 nt
Filed under: Felis catus (domestic cat)
Lineage: Eukaryota; Metazoa; Chordata; Mammalia; Carnivora; Felidae
Description: lncRNA (ENSFCAG00000050511.1)
Source: RNAcentral
AUGGCUGGGCGUUCGGCCUGGGUUUACAGGAGAGGCCUGAGGAGGGACAGAUGGGGCAUUGUCUGCAGCCGGCCUCCGCUUCACGGGGCGCUGGCUGGCAGGGGGCUGCAGGGAGCUAGGCGUUCGGAGGAAGGGAGCAAGUUUCGCUGCGACCAGGAGUCCUCUCAGAGAAGGCAGCGGCCAGUGGGAACAGCAGCGGGCUCUGCCCGCUGGGGAGGAUGCACGCCGAAACCUUCGGUCCGAGGCCAGCCCCAGGCUGCGCGGGCCCAGCACCGAGUCGGGGGUCGGUCGGCCGGGCCCUGUGCCGUGGCGUGGCCGCCAAGGGGUGGAGCCGGGACUGGAGGCCUGGGUCCAGGUGGGCGAUGCUGCUGGGGGAUGAGACGGCUGUGGGCAAGCGGAAGCAGGUCACCGGGGUCACUGCAGUCCGCUUGGGGCCGGAGCGCCCUGGGGGCGGCCAAAUGGGGAAUUGGGGCCGGCUUCACGGUUCUGAAAUGCCAAAGGCCGGGGUCAGGGUCUGGCUUGGGGUCGGGCCGGGCCUCUGGGGAGAUGGGAGUGAGCGGUGCCCGGUCGGAGCCGACUUCUGCACCCCCAGCACCAGGCAGGUGCCCGGGGCACAGCCACCCCCACCAGGCCCCGCGGGACCCGCCCACCUCUCCGGGGCGCCUUGGGAAUGGGAGUUACCAAGCCACAGCCAAGGGCGCUGGGGCCCAACCCAGGAGUCUUGACUCCAGCCCCACCCACAGCUGCCCAGCCCCGGGAGGGCAGGGGACGGGCGGCCGCCCGUGUGACCUGGGACAGGUGAGCAGCCCAGCCCUGGCGUGGGGGCGGGGCCCUGUCACUUGGGGCCCUGCCCGCGACUGCCCUCCCGCUGGCUCUCCAUCCCGGGCUGGCUGCCUCUGUUUCUCCCCCUGUGUCUGCGCCCCUCCGUCUCCUUCUCUGCAUCUGCCUCUCCUGCGUCUGGCUGGUUCUAUUUUUCCUUUUCUCUGUUUCUCUUCCCCGUUGCCUCCCUCAGUAUCUCGGCCGGUCUGUUUUGCUAUCUCGGUCUCCGUCCCACCGACUCCUCCCCCACUUCCGCCCCCUCUCUGGGGCCCCCUCCCUCACCCCCGGCACACAUUCCAGCCUCCACCCCCGUCUGGCUGCCCCUCCCUGGGGCCAGCUGCCGCUGCGUUGGGUGCCCAGGACGGAGGGAGUGGGCUCAGGCUGGGUCAGAGGUCAGCGUGCAGGCUGGGGCCGUAG